RNAcentral lists this transfer RNA (75 nucleotides) under Pseudonocardia autotrophica. Its description in RNAcentral is "tRNA-Arg". Lineage: Bacteria; Bacillati; Actinomycetota; Actinomycetes; Pseudonocardiales; Pseudonocardiaceae. The record is from RNAcentral.
UCGGCCCGGGCGGCUUCGGCCCCGGGGGCCCGUUCGGCGGGCCCGGCGGCCCGUUCGGGCCGGGCGGGCCGGGCC